This is a long non-coding RNA of Eurytemora carolleeae, 1989 nucleotides long. RefSeq lists it as uncharacterized. The record is from RefSeq and is a predicted model, not a curated record. NCBI's taxonomy places the organism in Eukaryota, Metazoa, Arthropoda, Copepoda, Calanoida, Temoridae. The transcript has 2 exons.
UGAAUGCCCACUGUGCAGAGCUUCAAUUAAUGGCAGGAUAAUUCCUUUGAUGAAUUGAACCCCACUUAAUCAAUGAUGUAAUCAAUCAAUCAAGUUUUGAUUUAUGAAUUAGGAAAGAACUGGCGCUGAAGUAAGUGUUAGAGACAUCAACCAAUCAAACAAUUCACCAAUCCAUCAAUCAAGCAGUUUAUCAAUCAAACAAUCAAACAAUUAAUCGCCUAAGCUCCUAAAUAAAGUUGGCAACUAUGAAGGAUGGGUGCUUUAAUAUCUAUCUAUCUAAUCUAAUAUCUAUGACAUUUUUCAAUAUUUGAGUAAAUAAUGGUGGUAGCCAGUUCUACUUUUGAAUGUAUACUCAUCUGAUGCUCUGGGAACAGGAUAUGACGUCAAAUCUUUAAUAUCUCCGUUCGGAGACCGGAGAUAUGGACUAAGGUACCUCCGUCGGCUCCGAUUUUUUAUCUCCGGCCCUAAUAAACUCACAGAGCAUUCAACACACACACCUAAGGAGUGGACCUAUAUAAUAUAAUAAUUUUCUUUAAAUUUCGAUUUUUUCUUGCAAAGACAAGGUGUCAAAUACGGCAUUUUUUCAUUUUGUUUUUAAAUGUCUUUUUUGGGGGUCUUCAUAUAAAAAAUAACGAAAGAAAAAGGAUACAGAUAAUUUUUUUUAAAAGGGUGUCCCAAAAAUAUUUCCCACUCAUUUUUAAAUUCUUUAAAGUUUUACUAUCAAAAAUGGUGAUAGCCGGUUAUGGUUUUGCAUGUAUACUAGUCUGAUAUUCUAGGAACAGGAUUAAAGUUCAAACCCGUAAUAUCUCUGUUCAGAGGAUAAGGUACUUCCGGUGGCUUCGAUUUGUCAACUCUGGAUCCAGUUGACUUACAGAGCCCAAAUUCAAAACACGAAUACAUUAGGAUCUAAAUGAUUGAAUAAAAAAUAAAUAAUUUAUAUUAUGUCCUUGUACCUAACUAUAUCUAUAAUUAACUUUUUUCCUUCAAUUAAUCAACCAUUUAUUUUAUCAAACAAUCAAUAAUUCUAUCAAUCAUUCAUUUAUUCCAUCAAUCAAGUAUCAAUCAAUCUAGCAUUUUGUUGAUUUAUCCUUCUUUCAAAAAAACCUCCUAAACCACCUCCGCCAGCACCACCACCUUCACCAUUGGCUAAACAUCUCUGCUUCGCGGAAGUUAUUUCCACCCCCGAGUCUGCAUGGCAUCUUUCAACUAUUAAAACAGUUAAAAUUAAUAAAGGUCCUUAGGUGUUUGUGUGUUGAAUUUGGGCUCUGUAAGUCAAUUGUAGCCGAAGUCGAAAAAUCGGAGCCAUCGGAGGUUCCUUAUCCUCUUGAACGGAGAUAUUACUGAUUUGACCUUUUAUCCUGUUCCUAGAAUAUCAGAUUAGAAUACAUGCAAAAGUAGAACUGGCUAUCACCAUUAUUGACAGUAAAACUCAUAGAAUUUUAAAAAUGAGUGGAAAAUAUUUUUGGGACACCCUGUAGGGGAUGUAGGGGAUAAAAUGCAUUUUCAGUACCCUUUUUCUUUCGUUAUUUUUGAUUGGAAGUCCCCAAAAAAGGCAUUUAAAAAGAAAAUAAAAAAUGCAGUUUUUUGACACCCUGUCUUCUCAUGAUAGAAUUGAAAAUAAAUUUUUUUCAUUAUUUUAUUAAAUUAUGUAGGUCCUUAGGUGUAACUGUUUUGAAUUUGGGCUCUGUAAGUUCAUAGGUGCCGGAGAUAAAAAAUCGGAGCCGACGGAGUUACCUUAUCCCAUAUCUUCGGUAUCCGAACGGAGAUAUUGAAGAUUUGACUUCAUAUCCUGUUCCUAGAGCAUCAGACGAGUAUACAUGCAAAAGUAGAACCGGCUAACACCAUUAUUUGCUGAGAUAUUGAUAAAUUUCAUAGAUACAUUGCCUCCUUUAGUCGUAUCCUUGAACCUUUCAAAACCUUGUUAUGAAACUUGCAAGCAGAAGCAAAUCUCCACAUGUCUAAAUUUGAUAAGAUUUUAAUUUUGGUUUG